This 556-nucleotide ribosomal RNA is filed under the name Bodianus diplotaenia (Mexican hogfish). RNAcentral's name for it is "partial 16S ribosomal RNA". It matches the Rfam family "Bacterial large subunit ribosomal RNA", at positions 1843 to 2597 of the family's 2925-position model. Lineage: Eukaryota; Metazoa; Chordata; Actinopteri; Labriformes; Labridae. The record is from RNAcentral.
GAAUAAGAGGUCCCGCCUGCCCUGUGACUAUAUGUUUAACGGCCGCGGUAUUUUGACCGUGCGAAGGUAGCGCAAUCACUUGUCUUUUAAAUGGAGACCUGUAUGAAUGGCAUAACGAGGGCUUAACUGUCUCCUUUUUCGAGUCAAUGAAAUUGAUCCCCCCGUGCAGAAGCGGGGAUGACAACAUAAGACGAGAAGACCCUAUGGAGCUUUAGACACCAAAGCAGACUAUGUUAAAGACCCCCAAACAAAGGGCCAAACAAGAUAACUCCUGCCCUAAUGUCUUUGGUUGGGGCGACCGCGGGGAAUUACAUAACCCCCAUGUGGAAAGGGAACAUCCCUCCUACAACUAAGAGCUACCGCUCUAAGUAACAGAACAUCUGACCAAACAGAUCCGGCCUGCGCCGAUCAACGGACCGAGUUACCCUAGGGAUAACAGCGCAAUCCCCUUCUAGAGCCCAUAUCGACAAGGGGGUUUACGACCUCGAUGUUGGAUCAGGACAUCCUAAUGGUGCAGCCGCUAUUAAGGGUUCGUUUGUUCAACGAUUAAAGUCCU